RNAcentral lists this ribosomal RNA (120 nucleotides) under uncultured bacterium. Its description in RNAcentral is "partial 16S ribosomal RNA". It matches the Rfam family "Bacterial small subunit ribosomal RNA", at positions 215 to 334 of the family's 1533-position model. The record is from RNAcentral.
GCGCUUUUGGAGCGGCCGAUGUCUGAUUAGCUAGUUGGUGAGGUAAAGGCUUACCAAGGCGUCGAUCAGUAGCUGGUCUGAGAGGACGACCAGCCACACUGGGACUGAGACACGGCCCAG